RNAcentral lists this long non-coding RNA (1125 nucleotides) under Oncorhynchus kisutch (coho salmon). RNAcentral describes it as "lncRNA (ENSOKIG00005014430.1)". Lineage: Eukaryota; Metazoa; Chordata; Actinopteri; Salmoniformes; Salmonidae. The record is from RNAcentral.
AUGUGGAAAAAGUCAAGGGGUCUUCAGAAUGCUCUAUACACACCAUGCAGUAUUUUGGGGACUAUAUACACACCAUGCAGUAUUUUGGGGACUAUAUAUACACCAUGCAGUAUUUUGGGGACUAUAUAUACACCAUGCAGUAUUUUGGGGACUAUAUACACACCAUGCAGUAUUUUGGGGACUAUAUAUACACCAUGCAGUAUUUUGGGGACUAUAUAUACACCAUGCAGUAUUUUGGGGACUAUAUAUACACCAUGCAGUAUUUUGGGGACUAUAUAUACACCAUGCAGUAUUUUGGGGACUAUAUACACACCAUGCAGUAUUUUGGGGACUAUAUAUACACCAUGCAGUAUUUUGGGGACUAUAUAUACACCAUGCCGUAUUUUGGGGACUAUAUAUACACCAUGCAGUAUUUUGGGGACUAUAUAUACACCAUGCAGUAUUUUGGGGACUAUAUACACACCAUGCAGUAUUUUGGGGACUAUAUAUACACCAUGCAGUAUUUUGGGGACUAUAUAUACACCAUGCAGUAUUUUGGGGACUAUAUAUACACCAUGCAGUAUUUUGGGGACUAUAUAUACACCAUGCAGUAUUUUGGGGACUAUAUAUACACCAUGCAGUAUUUUGGGGACUAUAUAUACACCAUGCAGUAUUUUGGGGACUAUAUAUACACCAUGCAGUAUUUUGGGGACUAUAUAUACCAUGCAGUAUUUUGGGGACUAUAUACACACCAUGCAGUAUUUUAGGGACUAUAUAUACACCAUGCAGUAUUUUGGGGACUAUAUAUACCAUGCAGUAUUUUGGGGACUAUAUAUACACCAUGCAGUAUUUUGGGGACUAUAUAUACCAUGCAGUAUUUUGGGGACUAUAUACACACCAUGCAGUAUUUUGGGGACUAUAUAUACACCAUGCAGUAUUUUGGGGACUAUAUACACACCAUGCAGUAUUUUGGGGACUAUAUAUACACCAUGCAGUAUUUUGGGGACUAUAUACACACCAUGCAGUAUUUUGGGGACUAUAUACACACCACGUGGUAUUUUUCCAAACAAUUCAACACUUCACUGUUUGAACUCCAUAACUAUUGUAGGGGAGAUCAAUGAGGUUAGAGGUUACCAUGGAGAUUAA